AAGAGAUACAGCAUAAGAGGACAUCAGAGAAAAUAAGAAGUUCUCUACAUGAUAUUGCAGGUGGAAGAUGGAGAGAGCCUCAUGGUAAUGAAUGAAAACUUCUGAAGUUUCAACUGUGUUCAAUGAAAGUGAAAAUAAACUGCAAAGAUGAUGGAAACCCAGGAAAGGAAAUACUUAUGCAGUUUUCUUCUAUCCAGUUAAAAAUUCCCUCUCUGCAAUGGGUCUGAAAUGUACCAUUUAGGAGUGAAGGUAAAAUCUGAAUAAAAGUCAACACAUUGGAGCGGGUCUAAUGGAGAAGCUGAUACUGACUGCUCUAGUUUAGUGCUGCCUCCCCCCACCCCCAAAUUAAAGCAAUCUUUACUAUAUACCACUGCAGCUACUAGACAUACCUGGCCAUUGGAUAUUUCAAAUAUUUUAGCAUGACUGAGGAAUUGAAUUUUUAGUUUUAUUUGAUUUUCAUUAAUUUAAAUUUAAAUAGCCACAUACUAGCUGUUUUUGACUAGAUUGGACAGCCUGCCUCUCAAGUUUCAUGUGUUUCUUUCCAAGUGGUUGAAUUUUUAGUUUUCUCCAUGCAUUAUUUUACAUAUUGAGGACAUGUGGAAAUUGAGGGGUAUAUCAUUUCUAACUAUGGGAAUUACUAAUUAUUUUGGUAGCCUAAGGAAAUUCUUUUUUGAAUGCCUACAACUCACUGUAUACAAGGUUUUGUAAUAUUGAUCAACAACAGUUCGAUUGCAAAUUAGAUGUGAUUCAAAGUCUAUGGGUUAAUAUACUGUGUUAAAAAGGAUUGUGGACAAGAGUCUAUACAGACUGUACAUUCAAGAAUGUUUUUUAUGAAUAAUUUUGGCAGGUUAUCAAAAAUAAUCAAAUGAUGCGUAGCUAACCAAAAAGAUGAUAACUAAGAAAGAGGUCUUAUUACUAAAAUGUUGACCUAAAAAGUAAUGUGAUGUAAAGCUUCUUAGUUUUUUGAUAGUGAGUGGAAAACAAUUUAAGGUCUUAAACAUAUUCCUUAUUCAUUCAUAAAUACAUCUUGAGAAUUUUAAUGCAUUUUCCUAUCACCUGACUAAACAGAAAAGCAACACAUGAUUUCAAAUGCUCUGAAAUGACUGAAACUUGAAAUUGCACAAUAGCUGUAGUGUUUAGCUCUGAUUAGUUUCAGAAAGCAGCAAGCAAUUUAUUAUGACAGUAAUUUAAAGGAAGUCUCUCAACCAUUAGUAUCCUAGAGCUAACAUUUAACAUAUUCCUCCUUGCAACACUUUCAGAAUCAUGUAUUCUCUUUUCAAAUAAAAUGCAAACAUGAAUCUAAGCUAUCAAGGAAACAAAUGAACCAAAUCAUGCCAGUGACCCAUAAAUGAAGCUACUAUCCUAACAAAUAAACCUAUAUCAUUGAGGGAAAACAUGCACAUUCAAAUGGCAGCAGGAAAACCAAAUAGCUACAAACAAUAUGAGAAAACUAGAGUGGGAAGGAUAUUUCAGAAGCUUCAAAAGUAAUUUGAGAAUUUUUUCAAAGAUUAAUUGUAUAAAAUUGAGUAUAGGUACAAAGCAUUCACUAUGCAAAAGCAUAAUAGCUGGAAAUAUUUUAUACAAGGGUGGAUGGAGUAUAAGUCCUACAUUUUCCCGUAAAUCUUUUGAGGAUAAGAAAUUGGUAUCUAGUGGUCUCUUCAAACUCAUCAUAAAAAACAUUUGUAAUACAUUGCCAAAUAAACAUUAAUAGUUUACAAUUUAUUCUUACUUUCAGUUUCACUGUUUUUCUUUACCCAGAUUAAGAUUUUAAUGUCCCAGAGAAGUGAAAAGGUAAAUUCAUGUCAGAAUGUGUUUGUGUUUUGUGCAUGUACAUAUAUAUACAUGCAUAUAUUUGCAUGUGUAUUAUAUACCUAUAAUUUUAA
Molecule: long non-coding RNA, 1883 nt
Organism: Marmota monax (woodchuck)
Lineage: Eukaryota; Metazoa; Chordata; Mammalia; Rodentia; Sciuridae
Exons: 5
Source: RefSeq, a predicted model, not a curated record